CAGUCGCCGCGGGAAUACGGAGGGCGCGAGCGUUACCCGGAUUUACUGGGCGUAAAGGGCGUGUAGGCGGCCUGGGGCGUCCCAUGUGAAAGGCCACGGCUCAACCGUGGAGGAGCGUGGGAUACGCUCAGGCUAGAGGGUGGGAGAGGGUGGUGGAAUUCCCGGAGUAGCGGUGAAAUGCGCAGAUACCGGGAGGAACGCCGAUGGCGAAGGCAGCCACCUGGUCCACUUCUGACGCUGAGGCGCGAAAGCGUGGGGAGCAAACCGGAUUAGAGACCCCCGUAGUCCCUGUCUCUUAUAC
Molecule: ribosomal RNA, 301 nt
Filed under: uncultured bacterium
Lineage: Bacteria
Description: partial 16S ribosomal RNA
Rfam family: Bacterial small subunit ribosomal RNA
Source: RNAcentral